This is a long non-coding RNA of Oncorhynchus tshawytscha (Chinook salmon), 4328 nucleotides long. The record is from Ensembl. Lineage: Eukaryota; Metazoa; Chordata; Actinopteri; Salmoniformes; Salmonidae.
CAUACACAUGGUUAGCGGAUGUUAAUGCGAGUGUAGCGAAAUGCUUGUGCUUCUAGUUCCGACAAUGCAGUAAUAACCAACAAGUAAUCUAACUAACAAUUCCAAAAAACUACUGUCUUAUACACAGUGUAAGGGGAUAAAGAAUAUGUACAUAAGGAUAUAUGAAUGAGUGAUGGUACAGAGCAGCAUAGGCAAGAUACAGUAGAUGGUAUCGAGUACAGUAUAUACAUAUGAGAUGAGUAUGUAAACCAAGUGGCAUAGUUAAAGUGGCUAGUGAUACAUGUAUUACAUAAGGAUGCAGUCGAUGAUAUAGAGUACAGUAUCUACGUAUGCAUAUGAGAUGAAUAAUGUAGGGUAAGUAACAUUAUAUAAGGUAGCAUUGUUUAAAGUGGCUAGUGAUAUAUUUACAUCAUUCCCAUCAAUUCCCAUAAUUAAAGUGGCUGGAGUUGAGUCAGUGUCAUUGACAGUGUGUUGGCAGUAGCCACUCAAUGUUAGUGGUGGCUGUUUAACAGUCUGAUGGCCUUGAGAUAGAAGCUGUUUUUCAGUCUCUCGGUCCCAGCUUUGAUGCACCUGUACUGACCUCGCCUUCUGGAUGACAGCGGGGUGAACAGGCAGUGGCUCGGGUGGUUGAUGUCCUUGAUGAUCUUUAUGGCCUUCCUGUAACAUCGGGUGGUGUAGGUGUCCUGGAGGGCAGGUAGUUUGCCCCUGGUGAUGCGUUGUGCAGACCUCACUACCCUCUGGAGAGCCUUACGGUUGAGGGCGGUGCAGUUGCCAUACCAGGUGGUGAUACAGCCCGCCAGGAUGCUCUCGAUUGUGCAUCUGUAGAAGUUUGUGAGUGCUUUUGGUGACAAGCCGAAUUUCUUCAGCCUCCUGAGGUUGAAGAGGCGCUGCUGCGCCUUCCUCACGAUGCUGUCUGUGUGAGUGGACCAAUUCAGUUUGUCUGUGAUGUGUAUGCCGAGGAACUUAAAACUUGCUACCCUCUCCACUACUGUUCCAUUGAUGUGGAUCAACCCGGUUAGUAGCCGUUACCGUUCAUUACCAGUGCUCGGUGUCUCUCCAGUGGUGUGGUAAUGUUUCCUCGCUCUGUCUCUCAAUUCAUUUCAAUCCAAGGGGUUUUAUUGGCAUGGAAAACAUAUGUUUACAUUGCCAAAGCAAGUGAAAUAGGUAAUAAACAAAAGUGAAAUAAACAAUACAAAAUAAACAGUUUAACUUUACACUCAAAAAGUUCCAAAAGAAUAAAAGACAUUUCAAAGAUCCUAUUAUGUCUAUAUACAGUGUUGUAACUAUGCGCAAAUAGUAUAAAAGGGAAAAUAAAUAAACAUAAAUAUGGGUUGUAUGGUGAUUCUGCUUCACUGGUUGCCCUUUUCUUGUGGCAGUUUCCACCUCAUUCAUAGCCGCUCUUCUCUCAAUAGCAAGGCUAUGCUCACUGAGUCUGUACAUAGUCAAAGCUUUCCUUAAGUUUGGGUCAGUCACAGUGGUCAGGUAUUCUGCCACUAUAUACUCUCUGUUUAGGGCCAAAUAGCAUUCUAUUGCUGUUUUUUUGUUAAUUCUUUCUAAUGUGUCAAAGUAAUUAUCUUUUUGUUUUCUCAUGAUUUGGUUGGGUCUAAUUGUGUUGCUGUCCUGGGGCUCUGUAGGGUGUGUUUGUGUUUGUGAACAGAGCCCCAGGACCAGCUUGCUUAGUGGACUCUUCUCCAGGUUCAUCUCUCUGUAGGUGAUGGCUUUGUUACAGAAGGUUUGGGAAUCGCUUCUUUUUAGGUGGUUGUAGAUUUGAAAUGCUCUUUUCUGUAUUUUGAUAAUUAGUUGGUAUCGGCCUAAUUCUGCUCUGCAUGCAUUAUUUGGUGUUUCACAUUGUACACGGGGGAUAUUUUUGCAGAAUUUUGCAUGCAGAGUCUCAAUUUGGUGUUUGUCCCAUUUUGUGAAGUCUUGGUUGGUGAGCGGAGUCAUUUUAGCCAGAUCCUAAUUGGUAUGUCAAAUUGUAUGUUCCUUUUGAUGGCAUAGAAGGCCCUUCUUGCCUUUAAAAACAAGUUUUAAUGACUCCAACUUAAGUGUUUGUAAACCUCCUGCUUCAACUGUAUAUAUAAAAAACAAUGGGUACAUAUUGAAGAUGUCCACGUUCAUCCCCAGAAUCUUUUCACAUGUUAAUUUUCUGAAAAUAGCUGUGCAGCAACACCCCCCAUCCAAACUGCCACAGCUUGAGAGGAUCUGCUGAGAAGAAGGGGAGAAACUCCUUAAAUACAGGUGUGCCAAGCUUGUAGCGUCAUACCCAAGAAGACUCCAGGCUGUAAUCGCUGUCGAACGUGCUUCAACAAAGUACUGAGUAAAUGGUCCGAAUGCCUAUGUAAAUGUGAUAUUUCAGUUUAAAAAAUAAAUAAAUUGUAAUACAUUUGCAAACAUUUCUAAAAACCUCUUUUUGCUUUGUCAUUAUGGGGUAUUGUGUGUAUGAUUGAUGAGGAAAAAAUAGAAUUUAAGAAUAAGGCUGUAACGUAACAAAAUGUGGAGAAGGUCAAGGGGAUCUGAAUACUUUCUGAAGGCACUACCCAAGAUGCAUCUGUUCUGGCGGCGGCCCAACGUCUCAUUAAGACACUUUAUGUUGGAGUUUCCCCUAUUUUGGCAGAAACCUGUAUAUCCUGUGUUUAAACCUACAUCUGGGAUAUUUUGAAUAUAGACGUAGUUUAUACUGUACGAGAUGUGGUUUUCCAAAUAUAGUCAUAUGCUAUUCGUUUUGUCUGUAGCCUGUUCAAUACAUUUGCAUCUCUUUACAAUGAAUUAAAAUCACACUUAAAAGGUUUGAAAGUCCAUUGAAUUGUUGAUUUUAUACACAAAUAAAUUAACUCAAUAUGUGAGGUUCUAAUGAAGAGUUAAAAAGAUUAUUACAAUCAAUCAAUCAAUCAUUCAAUUAUUCUACUCUCAAAUAAGUUGAUCAGGGCCAAUAGUCUGUUAUGACCAAUGAUCAGGGCCAAUAGUCUGUUAUGACCAAUGAUCAGGGCCAAUAGUCUGUUAUGACCAAUGAUCAGGGCCAAUAGUCUGUUAUGACCAAUGAUCAGGGCCAAUAGUCUGUUAUGACCAAUGAACAGGGCCAAUAGUCUGUUAUGACCAAUGAACAGGGCCAAUAGUCUGUUAUGACCAAUGAUCAGGGCCAAUAGUCUGUUAUGACCAAUGAUCAGGGCCAAUAGUCUGUUAUGACCAAUGAACAGGGCCAAUAGUCUGUUAUGACCAAUGAACAGGGCCGGUUAUUCAAAAACACAAACCGAGAAUCAACAUAACAGCUACAGAAUUCCUCACAAGAUGUGAACAACCAGUACAUGUGCUUGGUAUAUACAUGUACCAAACACCAGAGUCCAUCAAUUUUAAGUGUCUUUCUGUUCUUUUCUACAGAAACCUAAAUGAGUCUUUCACAGGGUGCCAGGAAUCUUACUCCGUGGAAGACACGUCAUCACAGACGUUGGCUGUAGAUCACCUGGGUGGUUGUCUGUCGAUGGACAGUGGAGAUUCAAUGUGGAGAUUCAUCAGAAAAUUGCCAGAAAAUCAGUACUGAUGUUCUGUGGUCAGAGGCGACCACCAGCUGCUUUCAACCAUUCGCCAAACAGUGUGAUUGGUCCAUUAGAACUCGCCCCAGGUGGGUGAUGCAGGGUCGCAGAGCCAAUCAGGACUGUCCAGGAUGUCGGAGAGGGACAAUUCUAUUGGGGGUUCAAUGGCUGGGGUAGACAAGUUCAGAGGGUACAUGGUCAGAGGGUAGGAGAUGGGUGACAGUGUAGGAGCAGGGAUAGUUGGAGGGGCAAGAUUAGUUAUUGGGGUAGUUGGAUGGGCAAGAUUAUUUAUCGAGGUAGUUAGAGGGGAAAUAUUAGUUUUUGGGGUAAUUGGAGAGGAACAAAUAUUGUUUGGGGCAAUCAGAGAGGCAUUAUUAGAUAUUGGGGAAUAUAGAGUGGAAAGCAAAGGGUAGGGGUUAGUCACAUGGGCAGUUGAAGGAACAGUGACGAGAGUGGGGAGUGGUAAACAAGUCCUCUGCCCUCCAGGUACUGGGGCAAGAAGAGAGCCCGGGGUAGUUUGAGGGGACACAGCGGGUGCCGGGGUAGUUUGAGGGGACACAGCGGGUGCCGGGGUGGUUUGAGGUGACACAGCGGGUGCAGGGGUAGUCACAGGGGCAAUAGAUGACGCGGAGGGGGACAGGAUCUGGCAGCAGGGGAUAUUGGCGGGUAUAGACGAGGGCCGGAGGGUGCAGGCAGAUUCAUGUUGCUCAAGGGUGGCUGUGUAGAGCCGGAACUCUCUUCUCAGACCAGCAAUCUCCUUCUCUAGAGCUGAGUUAGAACUUUCCAAGGUCUGUAGAUCCU